CUUCACCGAGCCCAACAGCAGCGGGUGCUCCCGGUCCUGGCCGUAGGUGGCCAGCAGCGCCUGUGCUUC
Molecule: non-coding RNA, 69 nt
Organism: Pseudonocardia sp. HH130630-07
Lineage: Bacteria; Bacillati; Actinomycetota; Actinomycetes; Pseudonocardiales; Pseudonocardiaceae
Rfam family: ASpks TB sRNA
Source: Rfam